Ceratitis capitata (Mediterranean fruit fly) is the source of this 1113-nucleotide RNA transcript. RefSeq lists it as uncharacterized. The record is from RefSeq and is a predicted model, not a curated record. NCBI's taxonomy places the organism in Eukaryota, Metazoa, Arthropoda, Insecta, Diptera, Tephritidae. The transcript is spliced from 3 exons.
GCUGCUGAACUGCAAAUGUGUUUGGUUUAGGUGCCGCGGAGUGCAUAUUAUCGGAGUUGAAAACAAAGUCAAAAGCCGGCAUGUGUUGACGUCUCUCUCACGAUGUAACUCAAACGAGCAAGUUCUCGUACGAGCGCACACAACGAGCGCACAGUUCCAUGCAUACAUCGAGCGGCAUGACAAGCACUACAAUACCAAACCAACUUAUACAAGUGCGCACACCAAUUCAGUUUGCAAUCAACCUUUGCGGUGUGUGUCCGAUCCAUGUUGUAUUUGUAGUAUUUUUGCGAAUUUACGCUUCAUAAUGGACGAUCUGGUGGACCAGAAGUUAAACAUACGUUUGGUACAAGCUGUGGAGAAGUAUUCAAUUAUAUACAAUACCGCAAUAAAAGGUUUUAACCGAAAGCGGAAUAUUCGUGCAAGGGAAGCAGCGUGGAAGACUAUUGGAGAGGAGUUGAAAUGUGACGAUUUAUCUCGUUCUACAGGCCAUUUUUGGUCCCUAUGACCGACAUCUAUAGCCGUUGAGCUGAAUAUAGCAGACGCGUUGAGAAGGCCUGCAAAUAAUAGAAAUCAUGCCUGGUGCUGGGAUGUUGCAGCGUUUGACAAAUAAAAAAAAAAGAGAAUAUAUUUAAAGACACGGGACUAUGAACAUUGUUAACGUUGAAAAUAUAGAAAAGACCAACGGCACAAGGAAGGGGAGCGAAAAAUGCAGGUGAAGUGAUCUUGAGAGCAUACGGAUAGGAUGGUCCAGGAAAUAGAAAUGAGGGAGACGACAUGGAAUUUUAUUUCCCCAGAAUACCGGAUUCGGGAAGCCCAAUGGCUUUUUUCUUAAUUACUAUUACUAUGAAUGAAGCAGGUUGGUAAACUAGACAGAUUAUAUUGCCAUUCAACCUCUCGGUGAGGAGUCUAGGAGUAUUCCAUAUAACGUUCACGGACAUUCAUUACGAUUUCCGCUGUCCUACCUAAAACGCUGCUUCAUCGAACUGAUGGGAGAAUUCCAGUUUCCUACUACUAAAUGGGAUACGUUAGCCGAAAAGAUAUAGUAAAACUAAUGCUGCAACUACCCAACUCACGUAACAGCCGUCCAUAGCAACCUAUCUUAUGAGAACUCCA